AUACGGAGGAUCCGAGCGUUAUCCGGAUUUAUUGGGUUUAAAGGGUGCGCGGGCGGCCAUUUAAGUCAGCGGUUAAAUCGUGGGGCUCAACCCCAUUCUGCCGUUGAUACUGGGUGGCUUGAUUGCGGUCGAGGUUGGCGGAAUUCGUUGUGUAGCGGUGAAAUGCAUAGAUAUGACGAAGAACACCGAUUGCGUAGGCAGCUGACCAGAUCGCAAAUGACGCUCAUGCACGAAAGUGCGGGGAUCGAACAGGAUUAGAUACCCUGGUAGUCCGCACAGUAAACGAUGAAUACUUGUUUUCGGCGAUAUAAUGUCGGAGGCAAAGCGAAAGCGAUAAGUAUUCCACCUGGGGAGUACGCCGGCAACGGUGAAACUCAAAUGAAUUGACGGGG
This 392-nucleotide ribosomal RNA is filed under the name uncultured bacterium. Its description in RNAcentral is "partial 16S ribosomal RNA". It matches the Rfam family "Bacterial small subunit ribosomal RNA", at positions 523 to 918 of the family's 1533-position model. The record is from RNAcentral.